GGGCCUUUUCCACUGGGAGAUGGGGUUGUCUUGUUUGUUCUUGAAGAUGAAGUUUAGGGUGUUGUUUUUGGUGAGGGUAACGGCUGGAUGGCUGCUUGUGGCGUGGAGAAGAUGGUCGUUGAUGGAGUUCGUUUUAGAGUUAGCGGCCGAGAGGGGUCGUCGAGUUCUGUCGUUGAUGUUCAUAAAAAGAAGAAGGUUCCCCUAGGGUUUUGGUCUUGUGUCCGUGAAAGAGAACGGCUCAUUCUCAAAAUGUCCAGGUCUAGGUUUUUUUGAUUUUUUUUCUUGUAUAUUAUCUUAAAUGGGUUGGGUGUCUAGGUUUGGGCUUUUGAGUUAAUGGGCUAAGGGAUUAGUUUAAUUGGGCUACAAGCAAGACUAAAUUGGUCCAAAAACUAAUUAUAUUCUCUCCUCCUUUUGUAUGUAAAAAUAAUAGAGCAAACAAGAUAAC
Molecule: long non-coding RNA, 445 nt
Filed under: Nicotiana tabacum (common tobacco)
Lineage: Eukaryota; Viridiplantae; Streptophyta; Magnoliopsida; Solanales; Solanaceae
Description: long non-coding RNA (NTAB_LNC006615)
Source: RNAcentral